AUGUGACCUGAUACAGCUCUCCUGUUCAGCUCAAUUGCUUAACUCUUUUCAGAGCUAGAUUAUCAGUGAAAAUAUAUUUACUUUCAUGUAAAGAACAGAGCUUAAAGUUAUGGCUUCUAAAGAUUACAAAGUCUUCAAUAUAUUAUACACAGUGUUCCCCAGAAGACAGCAAGUCCAACGGGUUUGGAAUGACAUGAGGAGGAAUCAUCACCUUCACAGCCACCUCCAUCAUCACUGUCACCUGGUCCCAAUCACACCCAAUCGCCGGAGGACUGAUCACCUGCCCUUAAUAUCCUACUCAGUAUAAAGUCACCAUCAUUUCAUACCCCAGAUGAUCCUCCUGAUCUCCCCCUCUAAUUCCAGACUCCCGUGCCAUUGUCAAUGCCUGUCUAACUUCCUGGACCAAUAUAUUUUAGCCUGAUCAUCGCCAGCCUUCCUAUGCAUUUCCAAUUCCUGCAAAUAAGUCUGCAUUCCUUAACUCAGCCUGAUUUGUGACCAUCCAGGUCCAUCCAGACAUGUCAUGUACAUUAUAUUUAUGCCGUUCUUGAUUGUUUAAAAAAUUUAAACCAACAAAAAAUAAAACUUUCAUA
Carassius auratus (goldfish) is the source of this 590-nucleotide long non-coding RNA. RefSeq lists it as uncharacterized. The record is from RefSeq and is a predicted model, not a curated record. The transcript has 3 exons. NCBI's taxonomy places the organism in Eukaryota, Metazoa, Chordata, Actinopteri, Cypriniformes, Cyprinidae.